This 497-nucleotide ribosomal RNA is filed under the name uncultured bacterium. RNAcentral describes it as "partial 16S ribosomal RNA". It matches the Rfam family "Bacterial small subunit ribosomal RNA", at positions 28 to 507 of the family's 1533-position model. The record is from RNAcentral.
GAUGAACGCUGGCGGCGUGCCUAAUACAUGCAAGUCGAGCGAACGGACGAGAAGCUUGCUUCUCUGAUGUUAGCGGCGGACCGGUGAGUAACACGUGGAUAACCUACCUAUAAGACUGGGAUAACUUCGGGAAACCGGAGCUAAUACCGGAUGAUAUUUUGAACCGCAUGGUUCAAAAGUGAAAGACGGUCUUGCUGUCACUUAUAGAUGGAUCCGCGCUGCAUUAGCUAGUUGGUAAGGUAACGGCUUACCAAGGCAACGAUGCAUAGCCGACCUGAGAGGGUGAUCGGCCACACUGGAACUGAGACACGGUCCAGACUCCUACGGGAGGCAGCAGUAGGGAAUCUUCCGCAAUGGGCGAAAGCCUGACGGAGCAACGCCGCGUGAGUGAUGAAGGUCUUCGGAUCGUAAAACUCUGUUAUUAGGGGAGAAAAUAUGUGUAAGUAACUGUGCACAUCUUGACGGUACCUAAUCAGAAAGCCACGGCUAACUACGUG